Molecule: ribosomal RNA, 301 nt
Filed under: uncultured bacterium
Lineage: Bacteria
Description: partial 16S ribosomal RNA
Rfam family: Bacterial small subunit ribosomal RNA
Source: RNAcentral
CAGUCGCCGCGGUAAUACGGAGGGGGCUAGCGUUGUUCGGAAUUACUGGGCGUAAAGCGCACGUAGGCGGCUUGGUAAGUUAGAGGUGAAAGCCCAGGGCUCAACCCUGGAAUUGCCUUUAAGACUGCCGAGCUAGUAGGUGAGGGAGGCGAGUGGAAUUCCGAGUGUAGAGGUGAAAUUCGUAGAUAUUCGGAAGAACACCAGUGGCGAAGGCGGCUCACUGGCUCAUUCUAGACGCUGAGGUGCGAAAGCGUGGGGAGCAAACAGGAUUAGAUACCCGUGUAGUCCCUGUCUCUUAUAC